Long non-coding RNA from Gasterosteus aculeatus aculeatus (three-spined stickleback), 1238 nucleotides. The record is from Ensembl. Lineage: Eukaryota; Metazoa; Chordata; Actinopteri; Perciformes; Gasterosteidae.
GGGAGAGAGGUCUGCCCUUCUGGUCCGGCAGCCGCCAGACUCACGAGAACGGACCGUACAGCAAGUUCAGGACGGAGCUGAGUGACGUGUGGUCCAUUUCCAGCGCCAACAUCCGGACCGACGUACGGAGCAUGCCCAGUUCAACCAGCAACCCCCACCUGCCCCCCAUCACAGAGGAGUGACGGGGGGCAGAGAGAGAGAGAGAGAGAGAGAGAGAGAAUGAUGAGUGGAGGAAGAGUGUUGGAAACUUUACUUUAUGAAAUUUUUAAGUUUUGGUCAAUAUUUGUGACAAAAUAAGCAACAGAUCCAAUUGAAUAGGAGCGUUCUUUAAUAGUUUAGAUCUAUGACACCACUUAACAAUAAAGCCUUUGUGGUGAUAAAAGCUCAGAAAUGUGCAAAUAACCAAAACGUCUGUCUUUGACAGUUCGUAGAGUGAAAUUAUCACACAUAUUAAGAAGCUAAAUUGAUCAAAUGUGUUUGGAUAAAUGUGUGAAAGAUGAGGCUUCAAAAAACGGCAUUUAGAAAUCACAUUUAUUUUCAUCUGCUGACACUUGCUGAACUUCAGAGGUACAACGCAGGCAGCAGCUUUUUGUGACUUGAACAAUUCGACUGGUCUCUCUCCCCCUGGUCUCUCUCCCCCUGGUCUCUCUGUCUCUCUCCCCCUGGUCUCUCUCCCCCUGGUCUCUCUGUCUCUCUCCCCCUGGUCUCUCUGUCUCUCUCCCCCUGGUCUCUCUGUCUCUCUCCCCCUGGUCUCUCUGUCUCUCUCCCCCUGGUCUCUCUCCCCCUGGGAGGAACUGAAGUGCAGAAACAAACCUCAUUCGCUGAUCUUCAACCCGAGACGGAGCGCAGAGCCUCUGAGAGGCCAUUUUCAUACUAUACUGUAGUCUUAUAGACGCAUUUGGAAGAAAGACGCUGGCAUGCUUGAGAACAUUUUCAUCAUUUAACACCACCAGCUGUGCUCAACGACGCAAGAACACCAAACCUCCCAAAAGAACCGAGAAACCCCUGAACACACACUGCUGCAGUAACUCCCAGCCGCUUUCAUUCUGCCCGCUUCGCGCUUCUAGCUGAUCAAGACAAACGCCUGUCCGACGAAGAGCGGCAGAGAAGCUGGAGACGAUGAUGAAAUGGACCAGGAGCACUUUUUAUUUCUUGUUUCAGCUGUACAGAUAUCAGGCGCAUUGGGCCCAACCGUUGCCCACGUGUUACGCGUGGCUCUGUCUUUGACUUGUUGGAUG